RNAcentral lists this ribosomal RNA (274 nucleotides) under uncultured bacterium. RNAcentral describes it as "partial 16S ribosomal RNA". It matches the Rfam family "Bacterial small subunit ribosomal RNA", at positions 523 to 796 of the family's 1533-position model. The record is from RNAcentral.
AUACGGAGGGGGCUAGCGUUGUUCGGAAUUACUGGGCGUAAAGCGCGUGUAGGCGGAUCGUUAAGUCAGGGGUGAAAGCCCGGGGCUCAACCCCGGAACUGCCCUUGAUACUGGCGAUCUAGAGUCCGGAAGAGGUGGGCGGAAUUCCCGGUGUAGAGGUGAAAUUCUUAGAUAUCGGGAGGAACACCAGUGGCGAAGGCGGCUCACUGGUCCGGUACUGACGCUGAGACGCGAAAGCGUGGGGAGCAAACAGGAUUAGAAACCCUAGUAGUCC